Molecule: ribosomal RNA, 492 nt
Filed under: uncultured bacterium
Lineage: Bacteria
Description: partial 16S ribosomal RNA
Rfam family: Bacterial small subunit ribosomal RNA
Source: RNAcentral
AGUGAACGCUGGCGGUAGGCCUAACACAUGCAAGUCGAACGGCAGCACAGUAAGAGCUUGCUCUUACGGGUGGCGAGUGGCGGACGGGUGAGGAAUACAUCGGAAUCUACUUUUUCGUGGGGGAUAACGUAGGGAAACUUACGCUAAUACCGCAUACGACCUACGGGUGAAAGCAGGGGAUCUUCGGACCUUGCGCGAUUGAAUGAGCCGAUGUCGGAUUAGCUAGUUGGCGGGGUAAAGGCCCACCAAGGCGACGAUCCGUAGCUGGCCUGAGAGGAUGAUCAGCCACACUGGAACUGAGACACGGUCCAGACUCCUACGGGAGGCAGCAGUGGGGAAUAUUGGACAAUGGGCGCAAGCCUGAUCCAGCCAUACCGCGUGGGUGAAGAAGGCCUUCGGGUUGUAAAGCCCUUUUGUUGGGAAGGAAAAGCAGCAGGUUAAUACCCCGCUGUUCUGACGGUACCCAAAGAAUAAGCACCGGCUAACUUCGUG